This 636-nucleotide long non-coding RNA is filed under the name Equus caballus (horse). RNAcentral's name for it is "lncRNA (ENSECAG00000048999.1)". The record is from RNAcentral. Lineage: Eukaryota; Metazoa; Chordata; Mammalia; Perissodactyla; Equidae.
GUGCACCCAAGGAGUUCCAGAAACUGCUGAGCGAGGAAAGAACCCAGCUGGAGAAUGAAGCCAGUCCACGGAGGGGUAUAGAGUUGAAAGAAGAGUGCCGAAAUAGAAUUGUUACCACACAAAAUUGGGAUUCUCUUGCCUGUUGCACAAUUAACCACAACCAAUUAACCACGGCGUCAGCUUUUGGGAGAGAAAUCAGAUUUAUUCUGCGAGAUGGAUCUGCAGGGAGGCAGGGGGCAUGUGCCCUCUGAUCUGUCUCCUGAUUCAGGAUUUGGGGCAAAAUUUAAGAGGUCUCUAAACAUUCAUGAUGAGAAGGGGAAGGAAUUUUCACACGAGAUCUUCCUGAAUGAGGGACCACUUGCUUCUGAUGAGUCCAACUUUCAAGUUUUGAUCUAGUCCUGGUCCUUUGGUUCCAUGGGGAGAAGGAUCUUUGGUUCCAGGGUCAUUUCAGGUUAAGAUUUCUUCUGCUGCUCAUGCUCUGGCUAUGAGACUUUGCACGUUUUCUGAAAGGCAAUUUUUAAUCACUCUGUUGAAAAAAGAUGGGGUCAGUUGAGCUGGUCCUGGAUGGCCCCCAGUUACAGAGUCGAAGCCCUGACCAGCACACUCUUGAAUCCUGUUGCCACUGGAGUUUGCCCA